ACGAACAUUUUUAUAACUAUUUUAAACGUUGAGUAGUUCGUACCCCUGUGUAUAGAUGGCGAUAUUAUUUUGUUUGUGAUAAAUUACAUUUUCUUCGUUCUUUCAUUUCUCGUACUAGUGUUCAUUUUUCUUCGUUGAAAAUGUUCGUGAUGGCUGUAAACCUUUCAACUCUUUUCACUGUUGGAACUAUCGGGCUGCACACGAAAUGUAAAUAGACGUCUUGCUUCGUGAGACGCUAGAGAUCCGAGGCUUUCCGGGUCAUCGAGAUCCUGUUGAUGAUGGUCAGUAAAUAAAAAACACGAGUACCAUGCGGAACCCGGAUUUCCUCCGGCCAUUUGUUUUUUAUGUUGCGGCGUUUUACGAGCACAUCACUACGAUUCCUGAUCGGGCCGAUGAAAAACUUGAGAAAUCGAAUUCCUGGUUUAAAUGUCGCAGCUAUUUAUGGGUAUUCAAUGUCUUUUUUACUGGAUCUUUCAAACAUAUCGAUAAGGGUAGAAUAGAAGACAAAACUUUUAAUUACAACAAUAACUUCGUUCACUGAAGAUUUACGUUCAAUUUGUUUGCAUCGAAAGAGAAUAAGCAAGAUGUCUUGGUUCAAAGCUGUAUCAUGAUUAAAUGCAUUUGAUUGCAAUAAUUGUUGAACCUCGUGAAGAAUUCAUCAGUGCGUUGGAACGCGGAGCAACCUACUGCAAUUUCUAUUCAAAUGCGAGGGGUUUACCUCUACAGAUUUCCUAAGGGUGGUUUCCAAAAAUGGAUUUUCGAUUUAUUACUCGAAUCAAACGAUGCGCCUAUUUCUAUACAAUUAUUCUCUUCUUACAGAAACUUUUGCCGAUAAAAACUUGUAGCGAAGGAGAAGAAGAAGAAAUCCACGUUGAUAAAAUCGAAAUCGAAUCAAAUAUUCAGGGGAUUUUAUCCCUGUUUCUAAACUUUUCAUUAUCCGAGAAUAUGGAAAAAUCUCCGAGUUAAGUAUUCUCUCUUUAUCUCAUUAACUCUUCAUGGGCAAUCGACGCAUAAAUACGACCUAUAAGUGUGAACAAUAGAAAGUUGUACGCUUUGCAAAGUGGAAUUUUUACUUAUUUUAGUCUAAAUUAGCCUUACAUAUACUGUCAAAAUUAAGAACACUUCGUUCUUUGAUGAGCGAUAGUAAAAUAAUAGUUCUCGAUAAAGUUUCAAGUAUACCAAAAGAAGUUAAUUUGCUUGCAAUAAUUAGUAGUGAUUUGGGUUUCUAGAAACAGGGGUGAAAAAUCAGCAUCAAUCGGAAACGUCUCACAAAGGGCUUACCUUCGUCUAAGAACAGUGUUCCACGAAACAGAAAAAAAUCAUCCGGGGUCAGCAAGGAGAGGGUACAACGAGCUAUUUUGCGAUUGGUCGCUGGCGAGGGUGGUUGGGAGAGACUAUAUAAAGCGUUUCACGGAUCAUGAUACAUCGCAGUUGCUUUUACGUGUUGCUUCACCGGUGUUUCCACAUUUUGGCUUUAUCAAAACGUGUUUGUGGUAUCACAACGAUCAUUGUACCUCGAUAGAGCACCUAGGUGCUGACAAUGAUUUGAUUCUUCCGGUGAAGUUGCUCGUGAUCGUGAAAACAGAGAUUGAAGAAAGGCUGAACGAGUAUUUUUUAAACUGACGUGCUUUUAAUUGACAAUCGAAGUCUGUGACAUUUUGCAGACAGUUAAACGAGGUUGAAUAUCUUAGCAGGAAAGUAAUUUUCAGCGAGGAAGUUAUUUAAACACAAUAGAAUUAUUUACAGUAAAUUAUUAAACUCGUUAAAUAUAAUUUUUAGAUUAAGCUCGUGAGAGGAAAUGUGAUUAAGUUUUAUUGGUAUCAGUUUUCGAAUAGAUUGUAAUGAAAGAAUUUUUUUCUUUAGUGUAACUUCUUUUAUUUUUGAUAGCGUUUGUGUUAAUUUUCCAAAAAUCUUCAUGGCUUCAGUAGUAGACAGUAGUUGGGCGAUUGUAAAUAGA
Molecule: long non-coding RNA, 1957 nt
Organism: Megachile rotundata (alfalfa leafcutting bee)
Lineage: Eukaryota; Metazoa; Arthropoda; Insecta; Hymenoptera; Megachilidae
Source: RefSeq, a predicted model, not a curated record